ACAUUGGUGGUUCAGUGGUAGAAUCCUCACCUUCCAUGUGGGAGACAGGGGUUUGAUUCCUGGCCAAUGCA
This 71-nucleotide transfer RNA is filed under the name Loxodonta africana (African savanna elephant). It matches the Rfam family "tRNA". Rfam says of the family: Transfer RNA (tRNA) molecules are approximately 80 nucleotides in length. Their secondary structure includes four short double-helical elements and three loops (D, anti-codon, and T loops). Lineage: Eukaryota; Metazoa; Chordata; Mammalia; Proboscidea; Elephantidae. The record is from Rfam by way of RNAcentral.